UACAGGGGGUGCUAGCGUUGUUCGGAAUUACUGGGCGUAAAGGGCGCGUAGGCGGCCUUGUAAGUCAGAUGUGAAAUCCCCGGGCUUAACUCGGGACGUGCAUUUGAAACUGCGAGGCUAGAGUGCAGUAGAGGUUGGUGGAAUUCCCAGUGUAGAGGUGAAAUUCGUAGAUAUUGGGAGGAACACCGGUGGCGAAGGCGGCCAACUGGGCUGCAACUGACGCUGAGGCGCAAAAGCGUGGGGAUCAAACAGG
This 253-nucleotide ribosomal RNA is filed under the name uncultured bacterium. RNAcentral describes it as "partial 16S ribosomal RNA". It matches the Rfam family "Bacterial small subunit ribosomal RNA", at positions 524 to 776 of the family's 1533-position model. The record is from RNAcentral.